Mugil cephalus (flathead mullet) is the source of this 431-nucleotide long non-coding RNA. RefSeq lists it as uncharacterized. The record is from RefSeq and is a predicted model, not a curated record. The transcript is spliced from 3 exons. NCBI's taxonomy places the organism in Eukaryota, Metazoa, Chordata, Actinopteri, Mugiliformes, Mugilidae.
GCACGGUCGCGCUAUCUACACUUGAAAAUCGAGUGCCCGUCUACAUCGCAUCGGACGACACCAGACGUGACAGUACUUAGCUCUGUUUUCCUGAAAGGCAUUCCUAUUUUACUUGGUGACGACUCCAGUGAAUUCUCCAAGGCAUGCUCUCGGGGGACAAAGCCCUAGAAUGCACUGUUGGUGUGCUGUCAGUGAAGAUAAUCCUCAUGAGGGUCCAAGUUCAGUAGACCUCCAGCCCAUCUCUACUGCCGUCAUUCUGGAGGGAGGUAUCGUCAUGGAUUGUAUUAAAAACUUGCCUCAGGCAGUUUUUCUGUUAUUUGGGCUUACAAAGGCUUACAUAGGUAAUAACAGCUAAAUAGAUAUGAAAUGGGAUAGAAAGAGAGGGAGAGAGAGAGAGAAAGAGAGAGAAGAACAAGGACCCAUUCAAGAAA